GACGAACGCUGGCGGCGUGCCUAACACAUGCAAGUCGAGCGAUGAAGUUUCCUUCGGGAAACGGAUUAGCGGCGGACGGGUGAGUAACACGUGGGUAACCUGCCUUGUAGAGGGGGAUAGCCUUCCGAAAGGAAGAUUAAUACCGCAUAAGAUUGUAGUUUCGCAUGAAACAGCAAUUAAAGGAGCAAUCCGCUACAAGAUGGACCCGCGGCGCAUUAGCUAGUUGGUGAGGUAACGGCUCACCAAGGCGACGAUGCGUAGCCGACCUGAGAGGGUGAUCGGCCACAUUGGGACUGAGACACGGCCCAG
This 309-nucleotide ribosomal RNA is filed under the name uncultured bacterium. RNAcentral's name for it is "bacterial SSU rRNA". It matches the Rfam family "Bacterial small subunit ribosomal RNA", at positions 28 to 334 of the family's 1533-position model. The record is from RNAcentral.